Ictalurus punctatus (channel catfish) is the source of this 1208-nucleotide long non-coding RNA. Lineage: Eukaryota; Metazoa; Chordata; Actinopteri; Siluriformes; Ictaluridae. The record is from Ensembl.
CUCUCUCUCUCUCUCUGUCUCUCUCGUACUCUCUAUUUCGCCGCAAUCAAACAAACCCGCGCAGAACGAACAGACAACACCGUAUAAGGUCUGAUUAUGAUUACGCAAUUUGCAUAAAAUGUCCCGCUAUAUGGUAGGCUGUAAAUACAAAUUAAUAUUGCAACGUUUAUUAUUAUUAUUGCUAUUAUUACUGUUAUUACAAAACGUUGUACUCUGCAUUCGUCUUAGUGCCCACUCAAGCAGAAACCUUAACGCCGCAUGUGAUGCGACAACACCAUGGAGGCAAACUACCAUCGCAGUGGUGCGGUUGUCACGGCCAACGUCACAGCCUUACCCACACUAUCAGAUUUUCUUAUGUCUAUCGUACGUUAUUCCUCUCGUAACACUAAAACCAACGGGUGCUUGUUAGUUGUUUAUUUAAUACAGAGCAUUCUCAUUUUUAACCCUUGUGUAAAUAUUUCUGUGGGUUUCGGUGGCUAGGUAAUUUCGUAACGUCCCGAUACGUUUAUAUAUAUGAUGGCGGACUGUGCCGAUGUAUUUCUGGACCACUCGUCGGUGUUUUCUGAGGUCAGUCUGUUAUCGCCAUGCCCUCACGGUAGUGCUCAGGAGUCUAUAUGAUGAAUAGUGAAGGAGACAUGCAGCUAUAAACUUGCGAACUAAAUAUAUCAUUGAAACAACACACAGGUCGAUUAGAAUGAAGACACGAACCAAUCACAAGAUGACGACGGGGAAAUGGAAUUCUGUUCUAACUGAAUUGGUUAUAACUGUGUUUUACCGUCGCUGUACUUGUGCUGUGUGAGCAACUCUUUUUCUUUUUUGUUUUUUGGUCUCUGGGGAGGCCGUGGUGGCUGCACGCUGUCUGCGCUGUCAUUUCCUCUCUACAUGUAGCUCUUCCCCACGGGACGAGGCCACCUCUUAAUGGUCCUGGUAUUUAGACACAGAUAAUGGCCCGGUGUUAAAGAACUGGCACGCUCACACUCGUCUCACUCCGGAGUCUCCCGAGGACUCGCGUUCGGGCCCGUCUGUCUUCUUCUCUCCUCAGCUGCGCCUCCAUCCUGCACUCCAUUAAACUUUCCAUUUAAGCUUGCUCCGAAGCUUCCCGGGCUAUCAGGAGCCGUGAACCUGCACACUGCCGGAAACACCCUGCGCUCUGUGUUCUAACCUGCACUAGACCGUCGCAGCACGAUGAGAGUGCGUGUGAAUUCUGG